CAGCAUGCUGCAAUAGGUUGCACUUGUCCAGUAACACAACUUACAGUAGACUGCCAGGGUGCCAGGGAAAGAUAACUCAACAUACAGAUGAAAAUUAAAAUGGACAACAUACUUUUUCCAUUUCCCUGUCUCAUUGUACUUUUGGGUCUGGUGUUGACUUCUAUGACUACAGCCCAAAACAACAUAACUACCACAAUCAGUCCCACUAAACUCAUCAAUCACACCGGAAACCAGGUAAACUCAACCAUCAACCCAGUUGAUACAGCACAAAGCAAUGAUACCACCACAACUCUGCCAACAAAUUCAGGCAGUCCUAACACCACCACAGAAAAGGAUGAUGACAAAAGCACCAACAUCUCAACAACCACAUCCCAGCAGUUGACACAGAAUGGCAAUACUUCACAUCCCUCAGGAGGAAUCAGGUCCACAACUCCUGCUGGAAGCACCAAGGACAAAGAAUUGGGUCAUACCAAAACAACAACAACGACAACUGUGCCAACAUUAGUUCCUACCACAAGUGCCCAUCGAAAUUCCACAAAAUCCAAGAUCUGGCUAAUCAUCUUGAUUAUCAUCAUUGCUGUGGUUCUUGUAAUAGUAUUUGUCCAAAUACGCAAGAAGUUGAAGAGGAAAUCGAUGGAUCUGCCAAGCAGACAGGAGGAUGUCCCUCUGAGUACUCACGAUCAUGACGUCGCGUUUGACAGCUCUCCGGCACCGAAGGAAAUGCAGACCUUUACGGCUGUGGACCUCGACAGCACUGAAGCCCUGGUUGAGGAUUCACCUGGAACAAAGGAGGAUGGUGGGAACAGCUCCGACCUCCCCCCGCCGCCAGGCUCUGUGGACAAACCCCAUGACGUGGCCCCGACUAAACUGGCCCCUGAACACGGGGCCCUGGGGGUCCCAGAAGGGGAGACUGAUGACGAACUCGCCGUCUCCAAUAAGACCUCGGUGGAGUCAGUGGCGGUCAACGAUGACAACAACAACAACAACAACAACAUCAGGAUGCCAGUGACAACGAGAGGUUGGUAUAGGUUCAAAUCUUUCCCUCCAACUUCUGUAAUGUGUCUGUGUGUGUGUGUGUGUGUGUGUGUAUGAACAUUGUGAUAAAGCAGACACAUUUCUCUUGGAUAUCUGUUUAGAUUGGACAGCAAAUAGUCUUGUAAUGUCAUAAUAUUUAGCUGUCAGUGCUGUUACCUAGUAUUUAUUUUCACAUUUUCUUGCAGUUUCAAAAAUGAAACGAGCCUCACUGGCGUAUCCACUUACUCUGAAAAGACGGAAUAGAAAUGUUGAACUCGACAUUGAACAUACAGCACAAAACCUCCCUGUGGAGAAUGUCAGUAACACGCCAGCUCUCAGACCAUGUACAUAUCAUAGGUCACAGGAGUUUCCUUUAAUUAGGUGCUGUGUACUGAACCAACAAACCAACAGUACAGCUAGUCCAAGUCGUUGUCAGUCGCAACAGAAAUCUCCUCACGCUCCCGGGGUGGGAACCUCGAUUCAGUAUUAAAUGUGAUGUGAAAAAGUGCAUGAAUCACAUGACUAUAUAAGGACGUGUCAUUGCGAAGGACGGGCCGUGAAGGAUAUGUAGCCGUUGCUAGAGUCAAAACCCUUAUUACCUCAUCUAUUCUGUAAUUGUUUCCUCAUUCUUCUUUCUCUCCCCAUACUCUAUCUUAAUAAAAAAAAAAAAAAAAAAGACUUGAAUCAUCUCUCAGGAUGGGCUGUGACCAGCCAUUUCUCAGAGGCUUAAACCUCUCCACGUCCACAGCCUCAACAGAACCACGGUGAGCUCUUAGCAUAGUCCUGUCCCCCACCACUGGAGCCCCCAUCCGCCCCCCCCCCCCAUCAGACCUCCUGCAGCUGCUGGACCAUUUACCCAGCUCAGGUGUUAGUAAAGGGAUCAGCCUCCUUACCCAGCUCAGCAGGCCGCAAACAACUUCUGGAUGUGCCAGAAGUGUCACUUAACCGGUCUCGCUAAAGUAACAUUGCAGUAUAAAUAGGCCGUCAUAAUCACCAAUUUACCGUUGUGUGCCGGUUGUUAACGUGGCCAUCUGUCCGUAUUAGAUGAUCGGUUGCUAUCGCCGUAAAUCUUCUUGACAAGACUAAACCACAUUGAUUUAUAAAUAUGGGGUAGUGGUGGUAAUAUAGGGAUGUUUUUGGUUGUUGAUGCCUCUGGAAUCCGGUUUCCAUUCCCGGUCAUAAGAUACUGAAAAUGAUUUCUAUGUAUAAUUUCUCUGUACCCCGGCAUAUUUUUCGACUACUUUGUCGGUCUAAUGUUUAAUUCCUUGUAUAAAGUUAUGUGAUAGGGACAUGUGUGUACAUAUUUGUAAUCUGUUAUCCCAGCAAAAUGUCAAUUUAGCUAUGGCCUCUGAGGCUUUUAGCCACUAAAGAAGUUAAUAUGCUCUCAGUCUCAAAUUACUCAUCAGAAAUCUCUGACAAUCUACAAAACAAGUCACAAAACAAGAACAAUCUACAAAACAACAAUAGAUAUAAUAGUCGCUCAGCCAACUGUCACAAAAACAGCAGUUUUGGAUUUCCAUGGACACUCUCUCUCUCUCUCUCUCUCUCCUUUUUCCCAAUGACACCUUUCAUCUCAUUUCAGUCGGCCACUCAAGCCAGAUUCCUCAGGCAGACUAGCACCUCUCAGUCUGUCAGUCGGUCAGUCAGUCAGACUGAUCUGAAGCAGGAAGGAGGAACGGCGACCUCUUGCACCUGUGUUCCCUGGCUCUCAGAAGCCUGCCGCCAGUGUAGCAUUGCAGUCCUUAGUGCCCCAAAAAUUCACACCCCUCUUAACAGCCGAUGAUAGGCCCUGAUCUGAGGCCCUUCUGCCGACGUGCGUCAUGUAUGGACGAUGUCCCGUUUUCACAAAAAUGCAGACCCCCCCCCC
Long non-coding RNA from Esox lucius (northern pike), 2881 nucleotides. NCBI's taxonomy places the organism in Eukaryota, Metazoa, Chordata, Actinopteri, Esociformes, Esocidae. The record is from Ensembl.